Long non-coding RNA from Mustela lutreola (European mink), 657 nucleotides. RefSeq lists it as uncharacterized. The record is from RefSeq and is a predicted model, not a curated record. The transcript is spliced from 3 exons. NCBI's taxonomy places the organism in Eukaryota, Metazoa, Chordata, Mammalia, Carnivora, Mustelidae.
UUCCGAUGCUCGAAAAGCAAAUCAUUUUUCCUUUUCCCAUGCAGCUCCAGCCAGCAGAACUCGAGGUGAUAUGUGGGGUUCAUGGGUAAAUAGAUUUUUGUUCUAUACAGGAGGACCAUUCUGCUUCCUGGAGCCGAGCAGUGAUGGACUCUAUCUGUACGAGAGCAAGCUCCGAGAGCUCGUAGAGAGAAUGCCCGCACUGAGUAAGGAGUCAGGCAAAGGGGCGGGGGCUGAGCCACAGUCGGCCCGUCCGACUCUGUCCUGGGAAGCUGAGUGUCAAGUACCGGGGUCCACGCCCUGGGAACAGUUGGAGCUGCCUGUCUCGCCACAGUGCGCUGUGCAGGGAACGCCGCCUACACGCACAUGCCGAUGGCAAGUUGAUCUCACAAGUCGCGUAUGUUUGUUAUGGAGCCAUAUUGCUUGAUCGUUAAAUGAGAAAGUCCUAUCGAGCUUUUGGAGUGUGACCCUGCGUGUUUCCGAUGGGAAGAGAACACGGCUAGCGAUAUGUGGUAAUACACUGUCUUGAGAUGCUGGACAGUGGCGGUGAGCUGCUUCUCCCAGUCAGCCACGUAAUCACGAGGGUCACCAAUGGAUACUUCUACAAUCAUUCUGCGUCCAUGCAACAAUUCUGUUUUUCACUUCCUGCACAGCAUUCAA